This 496-nucleotide ribosomal RNA is filed under the name uncultured bacterium. Its description in RNAcentral is "partial 16S ribosomal RNA". It matches the Rfam family "Bacterial small subunit ribosomal RNA", at positions 29 to 507 of the family's 1533-position model. The record is from RNAcentral.
AUGAACGCUGGCGGCGUGCCUAAUACAUGCAAGUCGAGCGAACGGACGAGAAGCUUGCUUCUCUGAUGUUAGCGGCGGACGGGUGAGUAACACGUGGAUAACCUACCUAUAAGACUGGGAUAACUUCGGGAAACCUGAGCUACUACCGGAUGAUAUUUUGAACCGCAUGGUUCAAAAGUGAAAGACGGUCUUGCUGUCACUUAUAGAUGGAUCCGCGCUGCAUUAGCUAGUUGGUAAGGUAACGGCUUACCAAGGCAACGAUGCAUAGCCGACCUGAGAGGGUGAUCGGCCACACUGGAACUGAGACACGGUCCAGACUCCUACGGGAGGCAGCAGUAGGGAAUCUUCCGAAAUGGGCGAAAGCCUGACGGAGCAACGCCGCGUGAGUGAUGAAGGUCUUCGGAUCGUAAAACUCUGUUAUUAGGGAAGAACAGAUGUGUAAGUAACUGUGCACAUCUUGACGGUACCUAAUCAGAAAGCCACGGCUAACUACGUG